UACAUGGGGUGCAAACGUUGCUCGGAAUUAUUGGGCGUAAAGCGCGCGUAGGCGGUUACUUAAGUCGGAUGUGAAAGCCCUCGGCUUAACUGAGGAAGUGCAUCCGAAACUGGCAGGCUAGAGUACUAAAGAGGGUCGCGGAAUUCCCGGUGUAGAGGUGAAAUUCGUAGAUAUCGGGAGGAACACCGGUGGCGAAGGCGGCGACCUGGGUAGAUACUGACGCUGAGGUGCGAAAGCGUGGGGAGCAAACAGG
This 253-nucleotide ribosomal RNA is filed under the name uncultured bacterium. Its description in RNAcentral is "partial 16S ribosomal RNA". It matches the Rfam family "Bacterial small subunit ribosomal RNA", at positions 524 to 776 of the family's 1533-position model. The record is from RNAcentral.